This 253-nucleotide ribosomal RNA is filed under the name uncultured bacterium. RNAcentral describes it as "partial 16S ribosomal RNA". It matches the Rfam family "Bacterial small subunit ribosomal RNA", at positions 524 to 776 of the family's 1533-position model. The record is from RNAcentral.
UACAGGGGGGGCAAGCGUUGUUCGGAAUUACUGGGCGUAAAGGGUUCGUAGGUGGCCACUUAAGUCAGACGUGAAAUCCCUCAGCUUAACUGGGGAACUGCGUCUGAUACUGAGUGGCUUGAGUGCAGGAGAGGAAUGCGGAAUUCCAGGUGUAGCGGUGAAAUGCGUAGAUAUCUGGAGGAACACCGGUGGCGAAGGCGGCAUUCUGGACUGUAACUGACACUGAGGAGCGAAAGCCAGGGGAGCAAACGGG